Molecule: ribosomal RNA, 125 nt
Filed under: Pteropus alecto (black flying fox)
Lineage: Eukaryota; Metazoa; Chordata; Mammalia; Chiroptera; Pteropodidae
Source: RNAcentral
GUCUACGGCCAUGCUACCCUGAACAUGCCCAAUCCCGUCUGAUCUCGAUCUCAGAAACUAAGCAGGGUCGGGCCUGGUUAGUACUUAGAUGGGAGACCACCUAGGAAGACCAGGUGCUUUAAGCA